This 253-nucleotide ribosomal RNA is filed under the name uncultured bacterium. Its description in RNAcentral is "partial 16S ribosomal RNA". It matches the Rfam family "Bacterial small subunit ribosomal RNA", at positions 524 to 776 of the family's 1533-position model. The record is from RNAcentral.
UACGUAGGGCGCAAGCGUUGUCCGGAAUUAUUGGGCGUAAAGAGCUCGUAGGCGGUUUGUCGCGUCUGCUGUGAAAACCCGAGGCUCAACCUCGGGCCUGCAGUGGGUACGGGCAGACUAGAGUGCGGGAGGGGAGACUGGAAUUCCUGGUGUAGCGGUGGAAUGCGCAGAUAUCAGGAGGAACACCGAUGGCGAAGGCAGGUCUCUGGGCCGCAACUGACGCUGAGGAGCGAAAGCAUGGGGAGCAAACAGG